Molecule: ribosomal RNA, 250 nt
Filed under: uncultured bacterium
Lineage: Bacteria
Description: partial 16S ribosomal RNA
Rfam family: Bacterial small subunit ribosomal RNA
Source: RNAcentral
UACGUAGGUGGCAAGCGUUGUCCGGAUUUAUUGGGUUUAAAGGGUGCGUAGGCGGUCUUUUAAGUCAGUGCUGAAAUAUCCCGGCUUAACCGGGAGGGUGGCAUUGAUACUGAAGGACUUGAGUAAAGUUGAGGUAGGCGGAAUUGACGGUGUAGCGGUGAAAUGCUUAGAUAUCGUCAAGAACACCGAUAGUGUAGACAGCUUACUAAGCUUUAACUGACGCUGAGGCACGAAAGUGUGGGGAUCAAAC